AACGAACGCUGGCGGCAUGCCUAACACAUGCAAGUCGAACGAGACCUUCGGGUCUAGUUGCGCACGGGUGCGUAACGCGUGGGAACCUUCCCUUAGGUUCGGAAUAACUCCCCGAAAGGGGUGCUAAUACCGGAUAAUGCCUUCGGACCAAAGAUUUAUCGCCUUUGGAUGGGCCCGCGUUGGAUUAGCUAGUUGGUAGGGUAAAAGCCUACCAAGGCGACGAUCCAUAGCUGGUCUGAGAGGAUGAUCAGCCACACUGGGACUGAGACACGGCCCAGACUCCUACGGGAGGCAGCAGUGGGGAAUAUUGGACAAUGGGCGAAAGCCUGAUCCAGCAAUGCCGCGUGAGUGAUGAAGGCCUUAGGGUUGUAAAGCUCUUUUAACCGGGAUGAUAAUGACAGUACCGGGAGAAUAAGCGCCGGCUAACUCCGUG
This 433-nucleotide ribosomal RNA is filed under the name uncultured bacterium. Its description in RNAcentral is "partial 16S ribosomal RNA". It matches the Rfam family "Bacterial small subunit ribosomal RNA", at positions 29 to 507 of the family's 1533-position model. The record is from RNAcentral.